RNAcentral lists this non-coding RNA (26 nucleotides) under Mus musculus (house mouse). The record is from RNAcentral. Lineage: Eukaryota; Metazoa; Chordata; Mammalia; Rodentia; Muridae.
UCCAAGAACACAUUAAAGCAAUCAUC